Molecule: long non-coding RNA, 831 nt
Organism: Gambusia affinis (western mosquitofish)
Lineage: Eukaryota; Metazoa; Chordata; Actinopteri; Cyprinodontiformes; Poeciliidae
Exons: 5
Source: RefSeq, a predicted model, not a curated record
AUUUAUCACAAGUCAUAUCUUCAUUGCAUGUUUUCCUAAUAUCAUGCAGACUUAUGCUCCAACUGGUUGCAAGGUAUUUAUUUAUUUUUCUCCUCUUCUGUUUUCAGCAUUGUCUGUUUCUCAACAUUUAAGUAUAAUUUGAUCCAAAAUUCUUUUAAGGUAAGAUCAGAGGUAAACGUAGAGAUACAAGUGGUAGAAGAAUUAUCAUCUUUAUGGAUAAGAUACUUUAAAUUGAUCAGUUUAGUCUGUUUCGAGCUGUAUAGUUGCAGUUCACAUCUGUGGCGCCAGAGGGCGGUGUUUAGCCAAAUCACCGUCUCACCUGCAAACAUGAAAGUGUUGGCUUCCGCCUGAAUUUCCUCAUCUUCAUGCUGGUUAGUGUCUCCGUCUCCCUCUGCUGGUCAAUGAGAGCACGGCGCUUCUGCACAAUAUCCCUGGUGAACCUGCAAGUUCUCCAGUAGAUCCAGUCCCAGUGGUGCAAAAUGCGAAGGCGGCGAUCUAUCACCAGGUCGCUGAGCUCCACGAUGGCGGACACAUAUUCACUGGUGGACCUAAAAACAAAGAUGUGAAAUCCAGCAGAAAUCCAGAACAGAGACAAGACAUUUCGGGCGCCAUCAGCAGGGGCUUCACAUAAUCAGGAUGAAAGACUCUGACCAUGUGGUAGAAAGGCCCGAAGAACCAGGAGCAGGAGUGUUUGUAGUAAUGCUGUAUGUCUGAGGGGUGGAUUUUGAACCUUACCUGACCGAGGUGACCAAUCAGCCAUGAAUGCGUCUGCGGCUUGUUGAAGCAGGACAACCUGUGAGUGUACCAGGCGUGACGAACCAGCAGCCUCAC